RNAcentral lists this ribosomal RNA (300 nucleotides) under uncultured bacterium. Its description in RNAcentral is "bacterial SSU rRNA". It matches the Rfam family "Bacterial small subunit ribosomal RNA", at positions 506 to 803 of the family's 1533-position model. The record is from RNAcentral.
UGCCNNCAGCCCGCGGUAAUACGUAGGNGUGCAAGCGUUGUCCGGAAUUAUUGGGCGUAAAGAGCUCGUAGGCNUUUUGUCGCGUCUGCUGUGAAAANCCGAGGCUCAACCUCGGACCUGCAGUGGGUACGGGCAAACUAGAGUGCGGUAGGGGAGAUGGGAAUUCCUGGUGUAGCGGUGGAAUGCGCAGAUAUCAGGAGGAACACCGAUGGCGAAGGCACAUCUCUGGGCCGUAACUGACGCUGAGGAGCGAAAGCGUGGGGAGCGAACAGGAUUAGAUACCCUGGUAGUNCAAGGGCG